GCGCGCAUAGCUCAGUUGGUUAGAGCGUGUCUUUGACGUAGACAAGGUCCCACGUUCGAAUCGUGGUGCGCGCA
This 74-nucleotide transfer RNA is filed under the name Acidobacteriota bacterium. RNAcentral describes it as "tRNA-Val". It matches the Rfam family "tRNA". Rfam says of the family: Transfer RNA (tRNA) molecules are approximately 80 nucleotides in length. Their secondary structure includes four short double-helical elements and three loops (D, anti-codon, and T loops). Further hydrogen bonds mediate the characteristic L-shaped molecular structure. tRNAs have two regions of fundamental functional importance: the anti-codon, which is responsible for specific mRNA codon recognition, and the 3' end, to which the tRNAs corresponding amino acid is attached (by aminoacyl-tRNA synthetases). tRNAs cope with the degeneracy of the genetic code in two manners: having more than one tRNA (with a specific anti-codon) for a particular amino acid; and 'wobble' base-pairing, i.e. permitting non-standard base-pairing at the 3rd anti-codon position. RNAcentral also lists the same sequence under 1 other name. The record is from RNAcentral. Lineage: Bacteria; Pseudomonadati; Acidobacteriota.